RNAcentral lists this microRNA precursor (103 nucleotides) under Marmota monax (woodchuck). Lineage: Eukaryota; Metazoa; Chordata; Mammalia; Rodentia; Sciuridae. The record is from RNAcentral.
AGUGGGAUAGCUGGGUCAAAUGAUGGUUCCAUUUCAAGUUUUCUGAGGAAUCUUCAUACUGCUUUCCAUAAUGAUUGUACCAAUUUACAAUCCCACCAGCAAU